Molecule: ribosomal RNA, 392 nt
Filed under: uncultured Gammaproteobacteria bacterium
Lineage: Bacteria; Pseudomonadati; Pseudomonadota; Gammaproteobacteria
Description: bacterial SSU rRNA
Rfam family: Bacterial small subunit ribosomal RNA
Source: RNAcentral
AAUGGGGGAAACCCUGAUGCAGCGAUGCCGCGUGAGUGAAGAAGGCCCUUGGGUUGUAAAACUCUUUCGUCGGGGAAGAAAAUGACUGUACCCGAAUAAGAAGGUCCGGCUAACUUCGUGCCAGCAGCCGCGGUAAUACGAAGGGACCUAGCGUAGUUCGGAAUUACUGGGCUUAAAGAGCUCGUAGGUGGUUAAAAAAGUUGAUGGUGAAAUCCCAAGGCUCAACCUUGGAACUGCCAUCAAAACUUUUUAGCUAGAGUGUGAUAGAGGUAAGUGGAAUUUCUAGUGUAGAGGUGAAAUUCGUAGAUAUUAGAAAGAACACCAAAUGCGAAGGCAACUUACUGGGUCACUACUGACACUGAGGAACGAAAGCAUGGGUAGCGAAGAGGAUU